RNAcentral lists this ribosomal RNA (620 nucleotides) under uncultured bacterium. RNAcentral's name for it is "bacterial SSU rRNA". It matches the Rfam family "Bacterial small subunit ribosomal RNA", at positions 1 to 619 of the family's 1533-position model. The record is from RNAcentral.
CUCGAGGCCAGAUCUAGAGUUUGAUCCUGGCUGAGGAUGAACGCUAGCGGGAGGCUUAAUACAUGCAAGUCGAGGGAGAAAUCGUUUUUCGGAAUGAUGGAAACCGGCGAACGGGUGAGUAACGCGUACACUACCUACCUUAUACUGGGGAAUAGCCUCUGGAAACGGAGAGUGAUACCCCAUAGUUCAUGCCUUGUGCAUGAUAAAGCUCCGGCGGUAUAAGAUGGGUGUGCGUCUGAUUAGCUAGUUGGUAGGGUAAAGGCCUACCAAGGCGACGAUCAGUAGGGGGCGUGAGAGCGUGAUCCCCCACACGGGUACUGAGACACGGACCCGACUCCUACGGGAGGCAGCAGUAAGGAAUAUUGGACAAUGGGCGAAAGCCUGAUCCAGCCAUCCCGCGUGCAGGAUGAAGGCCCUACGGGUUGUAAACUGCUUUUGUUUGGGAAGAAACGCCUUGAUUUAUCAGGGCCUGACGGUACCAUUCGAAUAAGCACCGGCUAACUCCGUGCCAGCAGCCGCGGUAAUACGGAGGGUGCAAGCGUUAUCCGGAAUCACUGGGUUUAAAGGGUGCGUAGGCGGCGUUAUAAGUCCGAGGUGAAAGCUUGCAGCUUAACUGUAAA